AGCGAACGCUGGCGGCAGGCCUAACACAUGCAAGUCGAACGGAUCCUUCGGGAUUAGUGGCGGACGGGGGAGGAACACGUGGGAACGUGCCCGUGGGUUCGGAACAACUCAGGGAAACUUGAGCUAAUACCGGAUGUGCCCUUCGGGGGAAAGAGUUAUCGCCAUUGGAGCGGCCCGCGUCUGAUUAGCUAGUUGGUGAGGGAACGGCCCACCAAGGCGACGAUCAGUAGCUGGUCUGAGAGGAUGAUCAGCCACACUGGGACUGAGACACGGCCCAGACUCCUACGGGAGGCAGCAGUGGGGAAUCUUGCGCAAUGGGCGAAAGCCUGACGCAGCCAUGCCGCGUGAAUGAUGAAGGUCUUAGGAUUGUAAAAUUCUUUCAGCGGGGACGAUAAUGACGGUACCCGCAGAAGAAGCUCCGGCUAACUUCGUG
This 433-nucleotide ribosomal RNA is filed under the name uncultured bacterium. Its description in RNAcentral is "partial 16S ribosomal RNA". It matches the Rfam family "Bacterial small subunit ribosomal RNA", at positions 29 to 507 of the family's 1533-position model. The record is from RNAcentral.